AAGAACCAGUCCACACAGCGCGUUGCGUCAGCUUUGCGUCGACGCAGCGCUGCCAUUGCGUUAUUUUAGGGUUGUUUCA
Aricia agestis (brown argus) is the source of this 79-nucleotide long non-coding RNA. RefSeq lists it as uncharacterized. Lineage: Eukaryota; Metazoa; Arthropoda; Insecta; Lepidoptera; Lycaenidae. The transcript has 3 exons. The record is from RefSeq and is a predicted model, not a curated record.